ACAUAGGCUUGAACAAAGAAGCAAUCAUUUCUACUUUUGGUGAUUGAAUACAAACUCCAACAUAAAAUACAUGACAUGAUAAAGCAACAAACUUUAUAGGUGACAUCGUACGAAAAUUGCUAGUCCAGACGCAAUAGUGUAAUAUAACAGAAUAUAAUAGGAUUUAAAAAAGUUCAAUUUCCAUAUCAACUAAGUUGCUGAAACAAAAUUUAAAAUCAAUUCAGUUACAAUUCAUCUAGUAGGAUAAUCAUCAAUUAAGUUGCAUUUCAACAAAAAUUAGACUGCAACCUGUAAGUGAAGAAAAAGAAGAAUCUUACUACUAUAAGGCCAGUUUUCUUGUCGAGCUCAUACUUAACCUUGUUGCGUUUGCCAAUUUCAACAAACUGAUAUAGAAAUAACCAUACUCACAAACCGGUCAACAAUCAAGAAAAUGGGAGUGUGUGUGAGAAAGAAUCCAACCUUAAUUGUGCGCAUGAUAUUCAGCAACUUCCUAUAAUACCUCUGUAAUCGUAUCACCCAUGAAACUACAUAAACAAAACCAACAAAUGUGGAAAUCUAAAGGCAUCAUAAACAUCACAGAUUAAACACAACUUAUGAUUAAUCUUCAAGAUGUAAAAUUUAAAAUUAUUACUCACAUCAGCAUUCGACCAACAAAUAGGUACAAUUAUCUAGAUACUGAUGAAUUAAAGCUUGCAGCAACAAUUUCAAGACCCAUUGACAUCACGCGAGCGGAUAAAAUGUAUUAGUUAAUUCCCAAGCUAGUAAGAUAAUGAAUUUCAUGAACAAAAAAAGAGAGAUGCAACUCCAAUUUAACAUGUCAAAAGCAUUGCAACUGUAGGUUUGGAAAUUAUAAAAGUCCAUCCAAUCAAUAGACAGAAAACAAUAGUUGUGAGUAGGUGAAUAUGCAACCAAGAAUCUAAAAUAUACUUGACAAAUUUGCGAUUCCAUUGUAGCCUAAAUGAUAACAAAUAAUUUGCCCAUUAUAGACACAGUACAAUUUAUAUACAAACUCAUCAUGAAUGAAACAAAUUUAAACACCAAAACAGAAAUUUAUUCCUCCAGAGUAGAGGGGGAAAUAAUUUUUUACUUGAAAAGUUGGAAGUAGCACUACUGCAUAAAUUACAAAUGCAAAUUGAGGGAGUACCUAUCAAAUAAGGUUGACUACAUUCUGAGCAAUGCUAGAGAAUAUUCUUCAUCGUUUCAAAUGCUACAUGCA
This 1216-nucleotide long non-coding RNA is filed under the name Malus domestica (apple). Its description in RNAcentral is "long non-coding RNA (MDOM_LNC009176)". Lineage: Eukaryota; Viridiplantae; Streptophyta; Magnoliopsida; Rosales; Rosaceae. The record is from RNAcentral.